GACGAACGCUGGCGGCGUGCUUAACACAUGCAAGUCGAACGGAAAGGCCCUGCUUUUGUGGGGUGCUCGAGUGGCGAACGGGUGAGUAACACGUGAGUAACCUGCCCUUGCCUCUGGGAUAACUUCAGGAAACCGGGGCUAAUACGGGUUAGGAGCUCCUGCUGCGUGGUGGGGGUUGGAAAGUUUGGGCGGUUGGGGAUGUACUCGCGGCUUAUCGGCCUGUUGGUGGGGUAGUGGCUUGGGAAGGCGCUGACGGGUAGCGGGCCUGAGAGGGUGGCCGGCGACAUUGGGCCGGAGCUACGGCGCAGACUCCGUCGGGAGGCAGCAGUGGGGAAUAGUGCACUAUGGGCGGAAGCCUGAGUCAGGAACGCCGCGUUCCGGAUGAUGGCCUUCGGUUGGUCAACAGGUUUCGACUGUGACGGAGCGUGAGUGACGGUAAUGGGUAAAGAAGCACCGGCUAACUACGUG
This 468-nucleotide ribosomal RNA is filed under the name uncultured bacterium. RNAcentral's name for it is "partial 16S ribosomal RNA". It matches the Rfam family "Bacterial small subunit ribosomal RNA", at positions 28 to 507 of the family's 1533-position model. The record is from RNAcentral.